RNAcentral lists this ribosomal RNA (253 nucleotides) under uncultured microorganism. RNAcentral's name for it is "partial 16S ribosomal RNA". It matches the Rfam family "Bacterial small subunit ribosomal RNA", at positions 524 to 776 of the family's 1533-position model. The record is from RNAcentral.
UACGGAGGGUGCGAGCGUUAUUCGGAAUUAUUGGGCGUAAAGCGCGCGCAGGUGGUUCCUUAAGUCUGAUGUGAAAGCCCACGGCUCAACCGUGGAGGGUCAUUGGAAACUGGGGAACUUGAGUGCAGGAGAGGAAAGUGGAAUUCCACGUGUAGCGGUGAAAUGCGUAGAGAUGUGGAGGAACACCAGUGGCGAAGGCGACUUUCUGGUCUGUAACUGACGCUGAGGCGCGAAAGCGUGGGGAGCAAACAGG